Molecule: ribosomal RNA, 484 nt
Filed under: uncultured bacterium
Lineage: Bacteria
Description: bacterial SSU rRNA
Rfam family: Bacterial small subunit ribosomal RNA
Source: RNAcentral
AAUCAACGCUGGCGGCGUGCCUCAGACAUGCAAGUCGAACGAUUAAAGCUCUCUUCGGAGAGUGCAUAGAGUGGCGCACGGGUGAGUAACACGUAAGUAAUCUACCUUCGAGUGGGGAAUAACGUCCGGAAACGGACGCUAAUACCGCAUAAUGCAGCGGCAUCAUAAGAUGACAGUUGUUAAAGGAGCAAUUCGCUUGAAGAGGAGCUUGCGGCAGAUUAGCUAGUUGGUAAGGUAAUGGCUUACCAAGGCUACGAUCUGUAACCGGUCUAAGAGGACGGUCGGUCACACUGACACUGAAUAACGGGUCAGACUCCUACGGGAGGCAGCAGUCGGGAAUUUUGGGCAAUGGGCGAAAGCCUGACCCAGCAACGCCGCGUGAAGGAUGAAGUAUUUCGGUAUGUAAACUUCGAAAGAAUGGGAAGAAUCAAUGACGGUACCAUUUAUAAGGUCCGGCUAACUACGUGCCAGCAGCCGCAGUAAC